GGAGAGGCGGCCCCGCUCUCCCUGUCCUCGGCCUUCGGGGUGGGGGUUACGGCCCUUCCCAGCCCAUUCCGCUGCUCCGAUGCCGCCCUGCCGGCUGCGCCGCGUACGCCUCCUGGGGUCGCCUCUCUGCGGUCACCCAGGACCCGUCCCAAGGGCUCCGAGCAGCCCAUCGCUGCGGAACUCCUCUCCCCUCAAAACCCCGUCCUUCCGGGCACACAGCAAAUCUCUCUCCUGCUCCCUCCGUUCGGUUUUAGCACCGAUCGGGAGUAUGCUGGUGGGGACGCAACCUAUGGCGACAGACUUCGCUAACUUCUUUUUUUUCGCCCCGCUUUCCUCAAAAAAUUGGUGUUUUCCUCCUCCUUUACUCGGCUGUUGAGUUCGCCUAUCAGGGACAAUAUCACUAGUUCUUCGCUUUCCCCCCUCUCCCACCCCCAGCCCACCCCCUACGCCGUACGGCAAAACUAGGCGAGAAGUGUCAUUUGUCCGAGGUGUAUCACACGCACGUAGUAUCCGACACAUCGAAGACGAAGCAGUCAGACCAAGAGCUUUUAUCUGUCACCAGGACAUCUCUCUGGUGGAAGAGCAGCCCCCGCUGCCAGGUGCCGCACCGGCUGAGCGUGUGCGCCCACGAUCCUUUCGCCAUUCCCCACCCUGUUUCCAGUUUGUUUCUUUCCCACCCUGACUUCUCGCGGAGCCUGGGAAAGCUUCUGCUGUUUAGGUUCUGUCUGUGUCUCAGGCAAGACGUUUUAACACAAAUUUGAGCGGGGCUGGGGCAAAAGAAUUGUUUAGACUGGCGUCAUUUUGACAAGGUCAUCCGUCAUCUUCUGUAUAGAUUGAUAACACCUAAGUUAAAGGCAAACACAAGUAGGGAAAAAAAAAAAAAACCAAAAACAACCCAACAACCCCGAUUGUUACGGCUUACGGAGUCGGCUGUACAACGUUCUCAAUGUCUCUGAUCGACCCCCAGAGCGUAAGACGCGAUGGAUUUUCAGCCGCCUCGCCCCACCUCUGUGCGCUUCGUGAAGCUGCGGCUCCCGGCGGUGGGCUGCGGGGCAGCGGCCGCUGCUUUGCUCCGCGGGGAACCGCGUUGGCGCAGUGCCCUCCUCCUUGGCCACCUCCUGACCGAAAUAUUCCGCGCGGGAUCGUACUGCGAGGACUCCACUCCGCUGCUGCGCGGCGUUUCCUCGGGCGGCGGGCCAUGCGACAGAGCCGGCGGCACAAAACGCAAAGCCCGCAGCCCGGACCCGGCUCCUCUCCGUUCCCGUCCGGAGGGGGAAGAGGGGAAGGAAGCGCGGAGGAUCCCGCCGCUGCCAACCCUUCGGGGUCGGCGAGAGCGGCCCCCCGCUCCCCGGCCCCGCCAGCCCCGUCCUUCGGCUUUUUCUCGCGGCGUCGGAGCCGCUCGAUGAGCGUUGGAUAAAGAGGAGGGAGGAUGCGGGUGGGAAACGAUCCGAGGGCCCCUCGCGGAGCUGCUCCCCUCUCCGCUGCUCCGCUGCUUCCCGGCCCGGCGGCCCCGAGGUGGACUGCGGCCUGUUUGCUGAGUCGUGGGUGUUUUGCAAACCCCCCCCCCCCCCCUUCUGGGUGUGCUUUCCUGUGUAAAGAUGCAGGGGGGGGAAAUAAAUAAAUAAAUAAAUAAAUAAAUAAAUAAAUAAAUAAAUAAAUAAAUGGAAAAGAAAAAGGAAAGAAGGAAGGCGGAAAGGAGACUCUGAGUCCUCGUUCUCCUUCCCCUUCCCUCCGGCUUUUCCAUUAUUCAGAGGACGAGAGCUGAAACAAAUCACACAGACCGUUUAGAAAGCGAUCAGACCUUUAUAAAAAUCCAUCGCCUGCGGAUCGAUGGGUGAAUAUUUGCAAGGAAUUUGUUCAAAAGAAAUAAAUAAGGAGGGUGAGUGUAUGAAACGCAGUUGGGGGGAACACGGUGGUGUUUUUCUUCAUUGAUUAAUGACCUCUAAAAUAAAACAAGCGGGAAGAGGAGCCAAGAUCGAUAAAUUAACUGCCCAAAUUCAUCAUUUUUUUCCCGGGGAUUUUCUUCAUUUUUUUUUUUUUUAAUAACCCCUAGGAAGGACGCCCGUCCCUUUGGGAACUCGAAGGUUUUACGUUCGGGUGGCCGUAGGAAAGGGAGAUAAACCCCUUCGCGGAGGGACGGAGCCGGGGACACCCUACCUGAUUUCGUUUGACACAGAAUUAAAAAGUUUGCCUUUCAUGUUAAUUAAUUCUCCCGAUCCGGGGAAGACGAAUGGUCGGUUCCCUCUGACAGGAGUCCGAUAAAGGAUGCAGCAGCUUCCCUUCUUGCCCUCGGCGUCUCCUCGUCGCAGCUUUAAGGUCACGAGCGGCCGAGUUAAUAAUUCAUUAAUACGGACGUUUAUUCAGACGGGGCUCGCGGGGAUUCGCGCUCCCCUUCCUCCCGCCGCUCGCACGCAGUUUCCCUCGAAGAGAGGAGGAGGAGGGACGGAGGAAGGCGGUCGCGUUUCUGCGCACGUGAGCGGGGCCGCCGGGGCAGCGCAG
This is a long non-coding RNA of Gallus gallus (chicken), 2499 nucleotides long. Lineage: Eukaryota; Metazoa; Chordata; Aves; Galliformes; Phasianidae. The record is from Ensembl.